Molecule: ribosomal RNA, 1552 nt
Filed under: Staphylococcus aureus
Lineage: Bacteria; Bacillati; Bacillota; Bacilli; Caryophanales; Staphylococcaceae
Description: 16S ribosomal RNA
Rfam family: Bacterial small subunit ribosomal RNA
Source: RNAcentral
UUUAUGGAGAGUUUGAUCCUGGCUCAGGAUGAACGCUGGCGGCGUGCCUAAUACAUGCAAGUCGAGCGAACGGACGAGAAGCUUGCUUCUCUGAUGUUAGCGGCGGACGGGUGAGUAACACGUGGAUAACCUGCCUAUAAGACUGGGAUAACUUCGGGAAACCGGAGCUAAUACCGGAUAAUAUUUUGAACCGCAUGGUUCAAAAGUGAAAGACGGUCUUGCUGUCACUUAUAGAUGGAUCCGCGCUGCAUUAGCUAGUUGGUAAGGUAACGGCUUACCAAGGCAACGAUGCAUAGCCGACCUGAGAGGGUGAUCGGCCACACUGGAACUGAGACACGGUCCAGACUCCUACGGGAGGCAGCAGUAGGGAAUCUUCCGCAAUGGGCGAAAGCCUGACGGAGCAACGCCGCGUGAGUGAUGAAGGUCUUCGGAUCGUAAAACUCUGUUAUUAGGGAAGAACAUAUGUGUAAGUAACUGUGCACAUCUUGACGGUACCUAAUCAGAAAGCCACGGCUAACUACGUGCCAGCAGCCGCGGUAAUACGUAGGUGGCAAGCGUUAUCCGGAAUUAUUGGGCGUAAAGCGCGCGUAGGCGGUUUUUUAAGUCUGAUGUGAAAGCCCACGGCUCAACCGUGGAGGGUCAUUGGAAACUGGAAAACUUGAGUGCAGAAGAGGAAAGUGGAAUUCCAUGUGUAGCGGUGAAAUGCGCAGAGAUAUGGAGGAACACCAGUGGCGAAGGCGACUUUCUGGUCUGUAACUGACGCUGAUGUGCGAAAGCGUGGGGAUCAAACAGGAUUAGAUACCCUGGUAGUCCACGCCGUAAACGAUGAGUGCUAAGUGUUAGGGGGUUUCCGCCCCUUAGUGCUGCAGCUAACGCAUUAAGCACUCCGCCUGGGGAGUACGACCGCAAGGUUGAAACUCAAAGGAAUUGACGGGGACCCGCACAAGCGGUGGAGCAUGUGGUUUAAUUCGAAGCAACGCGAAGAACCUUACCAAAUCUUGACAUCCUUUGACAACUCUAGAGAUAGAGCUUUCCCCUUCGGGGGACAAAGUGACAGGUGGUGCAUGGUUGUCGUCAGCUCGUGUCGUGAGAUGUUGGGUUAAGUCCCGCAACGAGCGCAACCCUUAAGCUUAGUUGCCAUCAUUAAGUUGGGCACUCUAAGUUGACUGCCGGUGACAAACCGGAGGAAGGUGGGGAUGACGUCAAAUCAUCAUGCCCCUUAUGAUUUGGGCUACACACGUGCUACAAUGGACAAUACAAAGGGCAGCGAAACCGCGAGGUCAAGCAAAUCCCAUAAAGUUGUUCUCAGUUCGGAUUGUAGUCUGCAACUCGACUACAUGAAGCUGGAAUCGCUAGUAAUCGUAGAUCAGCAUGCUACGGUGAAUACGUUCCCGGGUCUUGUACACACCGCCCGUCACACCACGAGAGUUUGUAACACCCGAAGCCGGUGGAGUAACCUUUUAGGAGCUAGCCGUCGAAGGUGGGACAAAUGAUUGGGGUGAAGUCGUAACAAGGUAGCCGUAUCGGAAGGUGCGGCUGGAUCACCUCCUUU